This 503-nucleotide ribosomal RNA is filed under the name uncultured bacterium. RNAcentral describes it as "bacterial SSU rRNA". It matches the Rfam family "Bacterial small subunit ribosomal RNA", at positions 28 to 524 of the family's 1533-position model. The record is from RNAcentral.
GAUGAACGCUAGCGGCAGGCUUAAUACAUGCAAGUCGAGGGGCAGCACGGUUAGCAAUAACUGGUGGCGACCGGCGCACGGGUGCGUAACACGUAUACAAUCUACCUUAAACAGGGGAUAGCCUUUCGAAAGAGAGAUUAAUACCCCGUAAUAAAUUGAACGGCAUCGUUUGAUUUUGAAAGCUCCGGCGGUUUGAGAUGAGUAUGCGUCUGAUUAGCUAGUUGGUGAGGUAACGGCUCACCAAGGCGACGAUCAGUAGGGGAUCUGAGAGGACUAACCCCCACACUGGUACUGAGACACGGACCAGACUCCUACGGGAGGCAGCAGUAAGGAAUAUUGGUCAAUGGAGGCAACUCUGAACCAGCCAUGCCGCGUGCAGGAUGACGGCCCUAUGGGUUGUAAACUGCUUUUUAUACAAAGAGAAAAACCCCUGGUACGUGUACCAGGUUGAUAGUAUUGUAAGAAUAAGCAUCGGCUAACUUCGUGCCAGCAGCCGCGGUAAU